Molecule: long non-coding RNA, 7608 nt
Filed under: Lactuca sativa (garden lettuce)
Lineage: Eukaryota; Viridiplantae; Streptophyta; Magnoliopsida; Asterales; Asteraceae
Description: long non-coding RNA (LSAT_LNC004493)
Source: RNAcentral
UAAAAUCACAAUAAAAUGCAUUUUAGCCUUAAGUAUCUAAACAAAAGUCAUAGAUCUCGUUGAAAGGUGAGCGUGCAUAAAAAGAUCGCCCAAAUUGGACCUCGUAUGAAGAAGUUACGAAUUUUCAAAGUUUCGUAACAGUAGUAGAGGGCUAAAAACUCGGAUUGAAGAUCGAGUGUUAUUUAGCUAUCGCCACCUAAACGGAAGUUGAAGAUCUCCUCAGUGGUAAUAAAACGAUAAAAAGACAAACGAAAACCGACGUCGAAUAAAGAACCUAUGAAUUUUUAACGAACUUUAGGAGGCCCGGCCUAUUAAAAAUAUAUCAUUAAAAAUAAAGUCAAAACUAGCCGACGGAGUCUAAAUGAAAGUUGUAGAGCAUAAUCUCACCUACGCGUGGAUAUAAAGAACACGAAAAACGGAGCUCGUACGCGAAAGUUACGGAAUUUAGAAGAGGACAGGCCGGAUUACGCCCCGCGUUCUCUAGGAGUACGCCCCGCGUACUAGACCCAGAGUCGAGUCCCAUCGGCCCGCCCAAGCUACGCUUAGCUAGCCAGGAGUAGUAAGCCAUGACGCAUUUUUACGCCCAGCGUAACGACGUACGCGCUGCGUACGUGAGUACGCCCCGCGUACUCCAAAUUUACGCCCCGCGUACUCACUCCUCCAGCACUAUAAAUAGAUGGCAUAAGCUUCGAGUUUUAGACACAUUUUCUCAAUUCUCCAAUUACUCUCACACACUUCCAAGCACUAGAAGCUAUCCCGACGACCUCGAUUUCCGCACUCAAGCCCCGACGAAAGUCCGAAGCCCCGAGAUUCCCGAGAAUCUCGUCACUCUCCGGUCGAGGUGCCGCCCGGGAAAAUCUCGUUUUCUUCAAAUCACGCGCCUUCAUCAGUGAGUUCAUACCCCUACAAUUUACAUUUUAAAUGUGUUAUCAAUAUUGUUUUAAUAUACACUUUUGAGGGGGGGAAUACAAGUAAUCACACGAUUAUUAUCGUGUGUAACUCAAAGAUUCACUAAAUACUCAUUUUUAUCAAGUAAAACAUAUGUGAUUCACAACCAUUAUGUGGAAUCUUUCAUACGGAAAACAUAACACGAUAUCGUCAGAUAUAUAUAUCGAAAUUAAAAAUGUUGUUAUAUGUAUACGAAUCAAACAGUUUAUCUAUACCUCGAGUUUAAGUGUUCAUUAUGUCACCAUAAAAAGUUACACAUUUCAUAACAAGUGAGCAUCACACUAGGGUUACUAUACAAACAAAACGAACUUUUGGAAAAACUAUAAUAGUUUACGCCAAACAUUUAUACAUGUUAAAAACUCUUUAUCAAACUGUCUUACAUGCUUUAUGAUUUCCUUUCAAACAUUGUUAGAAUCAUGUUUCUAACAAAGGUCUUCCUAUAUUUAAAACAGUUCUUAUCAAACAAACUACUUUCAAAUUAUUUUAUAAACUGACAUCAAGUCAUCAUUUCUUAUUUAUUAAACUUUUCAAAGGUUUUACAAAAGUCUUUUAUAUUUUUGUGCUUGCUUAUACAUGUAUACUUAUAUAAGUAAUGUUUGAAGGACUUAGGACGGCUAGCUCGCUUUAUUUCCUUUUCCUCGUUGGGAUGUGGCCUUAGGGCAUCGGUUAUUCGUCCGAAUGUCGUCUAAAUAUUAGUUAUAUAUAUAUGUACAUAUAUAGACAUAAAAGUUUCCGUCAGUUCAUUCAGUACCUUUGAGUAGCAAAGGCAUAUUUCGAAUUAUACACACACAUUAUCAAUAACUAUAAUAGGUAUAGUUAAGACAUACUAUUUACCAUUCCAAGUACCAGGAAUCAUACAAGACGUAGUCUAUUCAUGAGUCAAUACAAAUACAUUACAUACUAUGCGAAGAGGUACAAUUACAUACAAUUACAAAAGCAUACAACUUCGAGACAUACCAUUUCAAGGAAUACAAUUACAUGAGAUAGUAUACUAGAUAUUCAUAACGUUUUAUAUACUACAAGUACCAUAUCAAGAAGGUAUUUUCAUACAAAAACAAAUGGACAUUUUCAUACGUAAAUCUGUUUUAUACUAGAUUGUGAGACAGCUUCACGUACUUUCGAGUAUGCAUUAUUAAGUCCUGUAUUAUAUACCAUAAUCCCUUGUAGGGGGAGCGUGAUACUUGUGUAUAGAUCUAUACGGGAUUGACAAUCCCGCACCUAAACUGUUAGCUACAGUUAGACCGGCAGGUCUGGGGUGACAAAUGUCAUAACAUUCCAACGCCUGAAGAACGUUGUUACAGGCCAUCAGUGUCAAUAGCAUGGUUAUAAAACUCACAUGGAGUAUUAAAAACACAUUGAUUUACGGAGUUUUCAUAUACCUUAGCAAUUAUAACUGUACACAAAGCUACUAUUUUAGACAUGAAAAACAUCAUGGUAGUUUCAUUUUGGGACUUUUAAUGUACCAUCUACUUACGAACAAAUAUUGGAUUUUUGAAACAAACAUUUAAAACAGUCGAGCCUUGGUAGAAGGCUACACUUUAUACUAGUAGAAAAUAUGGGAUUUUCUAGAAGUUUCAAACGUUUACAAUUACUUACAAACAUAUUCGUUGGUACAAACUUUCUUUCAAACAAUUACAUGUCUUUCUUUACAGCUUUACAAAUCAAAGUCACAUAAAUACUUAUGAACUCACCAGCAUUAUUGCUGAUACUCGCUUUCAAAAUAACUUGUAUUCCCAGGAUACGGAUAGACAGGUACGACUACCAGGUUUUGUGAAGACGGAGCGAUCAAGACUCGUCUUUUAUUUCUGAAUAUUCAUUUUUGUAGAAUUAUACUAUGAAAGAACUCAAAUGUAAUUACAAUUAUACUAUUAAUGCAAUGGAUGAUGUUGUUGCUUGUUUACUACUUAGCAUUGUUGUGAUACAUUACAUGACGUCCUCCGCCCCAGAACGUUUCCGCCGUUCUCGGUUUUGGGGUGUGACAGAUUGGUAUCAGAGCAUUGUUUAUAGUGAAUCAAGUAUAUCAACCCAUAAAAGAUAUACGAACUAUAAAUACAAUAGGGAUUAAAAUACUCUGAUAAAGAGAUUAUACUUUUAAAUAAUAAAAUAUUUAAGUAAGUAUACGUGCCUGCAUACAUACUAAAAUCAGUAUCACUAGGACGGAACAAAAGUAUUACGAUUGUUGGGCAACACAAGUAGACUUAGAGACAUAUAGUCAAAACUGGGAUGAUAUAGCCUGAUCAACUAUAUUUUCCAAGGGUUGACUAGCAUGUGCCUAAGUGUAGUUGUGAGUUGCAACAAGUCUAAAAACUUACCCACAACACCACAAUGGGAACAAUAGAACGUAAACCUAAAAUACUAUAGGAGUAUUUUGUGUAUUCUAUAAACUACUUAUGUGUUAGAUUCUUAUACCCCAAAUUACCGUAUAGAUAACAUAGCUGGACCCCAUCCCCACGACAAACUCGUACUUCCCGAACAAAGGCAGUGCUGGAUGGUUCAAAGAAGAACCAAAGAAUGAUCAUCCAAUCCCUUUUGAAUGAUCACCAUACUGAAGACCUUUCGGAUGAUAAUAACUCUGAACUCUAGAAGGAGAACCUACCCCCGGUAACUUCCAAUUCAAACCCUAACCCUCGUCUAGCUCUUCAUGGCCCGACACUUCCUUGGGUAGUAUGCCUAGAAACAUGGAGCGCAGAGCGAGAUCAACCUAUGUCGUCAAAAGGAGACCGAAGCUACUACCACUUAAGCGAAGGGAGCUCAGCAGACAAAGUUCUAACAAUCCUGAUCUGCAGAGUUGGUCGAAAUGAAAUUCCAGGCAGGACAACUCUCCAUUAUAUCAAAGAGGUUAAAAACCAACACCAUCUACACCAAUCAUCUUAAAAACACUCGUAAGAGAUCUAAGAGAGACCAUGAGACCCUGCUGCAAGCAUUAGCUGAAACACAAGCCGAAGUCAUAGAACUCCAAAUGGUAUACAAAGGGCACCUACUUGAUAUGGAAUGUCAACUGACUGGGAUGGGGGUCCACCAGAGGGAUGACCGUCACCAAAAGUAGAUACCUUACUUUAAUCUCCCUUGUUAAAAGAAUUAUUUUUUUCUACCUAUUCCCGAUGCAACAUUUUUUUUGUACUGUAAGUACUGUUAGUUAGGCCUUUAUGCAGCCAAAACCUUUCUACUCAUGAUAUGAUGUAAGACCUUCUUCAAGAUAAAAUUUUCCUAAACUUAUUCCAUCUUAAACAUCGAUGAUAUUGACAAUCGGCUAACCCCCGUGUCACUCUUUGUUCAAAAACCCUCAUCAUACCCUCGUUGGAGUCUAUCUGAAACAUGCUUUAGUCAAAACAUUGGACUAUAGUAAUUUAACUCCGAAAACAUUUCCAAGUCUCUGUAGUGGUAAGAUCAUGUUAUUCACCAACUAACGAUACCUCGGCUUGAACAACAAACAUACUUCUACUCUGUACUAGGACUGCAUCAUAGGGAUGUAGGUCAAACUUUCGAGAACAUACUCUUACUCUUUACUUAAGCGAUCGAAAUACACCUAGGUUCAACCUUAAUAUCUCACGAACUCCUUUUCCUUUCGUGUUACAGAAUCAUGUCGCCGAAGAAAAGUAAUCAACCCAUCAGCCAAACACCAACUCUUCAGAUUGAUGCAGCUACCUUUCAAGCUGCAGUCUCAGCUGCCGUGACAACUGUUCUGAAUCACCUUAACGCCAACUAUGCAAAUGUUAGCGGGAUGGUUUUCAAUAAUUCCAAUCCAAGUAACAACCAAAUACACCCACGAGUAACAAACUACCACGACGCUCCAGACCUCAAACCAAUGAGCAACAAACGAAAAUUUUGGGAUAAUGUUAAAGGCAAAUCACCACGAGGGACAAACAAGAAACCAUCACCAGUGGCAGCCUUCACAGCCACGACAUCUUUAACUCCUACCACCAACACUACAAGUAUCCCAAUUAUCCCUAACCCAGCCAGACAGUAUGCUUGAAACCUACCGAAUUGCAAUAAGUGCAACUUCCAUCACUUAGGUAGUUGUCGUCUGUUACACUGCAAGACCUGCAACAAGAACGGACACACUACCCGCUUCUGCAGGACUCGGGUCAAACACAUUACUUCAACCACCAAUGUCGAAACUUCUCGGAUAUGCCAUCUAUGUGGUUUAAUGGGACACUUCAAGAGGGAUUGCCCAAUAGAGAAGAACGACCGUAGAACAGGAGGAGUUUGACCUCAGAAUGGAAAAAAGGCAAUGAAGGACCCGACUAUAAUAGGGGCUCACUUCCAAUCGUCAACAUUAAGUAUGUCGUUAAACUCGCAUAAAACUAGUGCAACUCGAGUCUUACCUUUUGAGAGAUCCCGUCAGUAUAAGGAGACCCUCAUGUUGUAUAUACUUGCCUUUUGUAGUAUACCUUGUUCGCAACAAUAGUCUUGUAGUAGCACCAAAGUAAUGUAACUCUGUUAAAAGUUGGACUGUUGUGUUUUGUCUGUAACACCCUUAUGAUCAAACCUAAUACCGUACUUCCAAGUAAGUCCGAUAUCAUCAUACAAUUUGACUCAAUUCGAUCCUCGCAAAUUCAGUUUUGUGCGUAUUUCUCCUUCUCCGAAAACGUCUUUCUAGCGAAGCCGUCAUUCCAGAACACCGAAGUACUCAUGCAUAGAGUACCUACUGUUUCUCAUCCUUUCCAAGGAAAUCGCAGCAAACCUCCCCGAAGUAUCACUCGUACUGUACGUCAAGUUCAAUCUAAAGGCCCAUAUGGUUGAUCUGUCUCCGAAGAAUGUAUACAUGAGGGUGGUAUAUAAUCAAGAUUCUACAGGUUUAGAAUUGAUGACUCCACUUUAACUUCUUUUCCUCGUUGGGAUGUGAGCUUAAAGAGGAAUCAUUUAUUCGACUACCUUUUCAAUCUUAAUUAUAUACGACUCGUAUACCCGAGUCUGUGAUGGAUGGACCAGGUAUGAGUUCUACUAUGAACUUCAGGACGGAGACUACCCAAGACUACGAGUGAUCGUGCAUCAGCGAGAAUAAACUCAGAAAUACCUACCCUUUUUCCUAAUUCAUGAGUAGUUAUACGUUCUUUUAGAUCUUCACGACAGCUAAUCCACCCCAAAGUUUUGACAUCAUAAUCAGUAGGAGUUGGUUAAGUCUACAUCGAGCCGACAUCAGGUGUCUUGAUAAAGCAAUUUUCCCUAACCUCCCUAAAACAACAAAUCCCUAGUUAUUUACCGCGACAAACCAAGUAUGAACCCUCUCAUCAAUUCGUGUAUGCAAGCUCAAGAAAUACUUAUGAAGGGAAUAUCAUGCAUUCCUUACACACAUCGCCGAGACAUGCCUAGAAGUGAAGGACAUUCAGAACGUCCAAGAAGUAUGCGGCUUUUCCCAAAGGACAACCGAGACUACCAACACGACGUCAAGUCAAAUUCAGAGUCGACUUAGUUCCAGUAGCCAAAUCACCUUAUUCUCUAGCUCCAACCGAGGUGCAAGAACUUCCUAACAAACUUAACAAACUCCUCAGAAGGGGAUUCCUUGGGACAAGUUUCUCCCGUGGAAGAGCAUAGUAAUUGUCGAUAAACAAGAAAGAGUGUUCCAAACACUAAAGUAAGUCUGAUGCAUCGCACCAAUAUUAUCCCUACCAAAAAGAGGAUAGAAUAUUGCAUGGUGUAAUACGAUACAUCCAACCAAGGGCUUGAUUGUAUUCUUAAGCAAGAGGAAAGAUCAUUGCCGAUACCUCAAGACAACUUAAGACACAAGAAGUUAACUAUUCAACAUGUGAUCUUGAGUCAUGAGCAGCGGAAAUUGCUCUGAAGAUCUGGAGACAAAAAUUGUAGGGUAUACUCUCACAAACAACAAAACUUUCAACGUACAUUCGACCAAGAAGAGUUAUUAUACCAGCAAAAGUCAAACGAAAGAAACAAAGUCGUAUCCCGAUAGUGAAAGAUUCACUGGAAUGCCAGGCGAAGACGAAUGUUUGCUUAAGAACACGAGUAUCAAAUAGAACUCCUAUCCGUAACAUGAUUGUUAAUACUACUUAAAACUCGAAUUUCGGGACGAAAUUCCCUUAACAGGGGGAUGAUGUGACAACCCUAUAUUUUCCAAAAGCAUUGUAAACACUCAAAAGCUAAAAACAACGAAAUUAGCCUCGAAAAUAAAAGUGUUCAAGUAUCUAAGUUGGGAUGCAUCAAAUAUUAGAUAUCAUGCCAAGGUUUCCAAAAUCAUAAAGAACGCUCAAAACCGGGUUAUAUUGAAGAAAUUAUAACCACUCGUAUAUUUACGACAUGACGUUAAAACAUUAUUUGACGUAAAAAGUAAAAUCUCAAUAAAAUGCAUUUUAGCCUUAAGUAUCUAAACAAAAGUCAUAGAUCUCUUUGAAAGGUGAGCGUGCAUAAAAAGAUCGCCCAAAUUGGACCUCGUAUGAAGAAGUUACGAAUUUUCAAAAGAUUCGUAACAGUAGUAGAGGGCUAAAAACUCGGAUUGAAGAUCGAGUGUUAUUUAGCUAUCGCCACCUAAACGGAAGUUGAAGAUCUCCUCAGUGGUAAUAAAACGAUAAAAAGACAAACGAAAACCGACGUCGAAUAAAGAACCUAUGAAUUUUUAACGAACUUUAGAAGGCCCGGCCUAUUAAAAAUAUAUCAUUAAAAAUAAAGUCAAAACUAGCCGACGGAGUCUAAAUGAAAGUUGUAGAG